AGAGUUUGAUCCUGGCUCAGGAUGAACGCUGGCGGCGUGCUUAACACAUGCAAGUCGAACGAACCUUCGGGUUAGUGGCGGACGGGUGAGUAACGCGUGGGAAUCUGCCCUCAGGAGGGGGAUAACGGUUGGAAACGGCCGCUAAUACCCCAUAUGCCGAGAGGUGAAAUGAAUUUCGCCUGAGGAUGAGCCCGCGUCUGAUUAGCUAGUUGGUGAGGUAAUGGCUCACCAAGGCUUCGAUCAGUAGCUGGUCUGAGAGGAUGAUCAGCCACACUGGGACUGAGACACGGCCCAGACUCCUACGGGAGGCAGCAGUGGGGAAUUUUCCGCAAUGGGCGAAAGCCUGACGGAGCAACGCCGCGUGAGGGAUGAAGGCCUCUGGGCUGUAAACCUCUUUUCUCAAGGAAGAAGAUCUGACGGUACUUGAGGAAUAAGCCACGGCUAAUUCCGUGCCAGCAGCCGCGGUAAUACGGGAGUGGCAAGCGUUAUCCGGAAUUAUUGGGCGUAAAGCGUCCGCAGGCGGCCCUACAAGUCUGCUGUUAAAAAGUGGAGCUUAACUCCAUCAUGGCAGUGGAAACUGUUGGGCUUGAGUGUGGUAGGGGCAGAGGGAAUUCCCGGUGUAGCGGUGAAAUGCGUAGAUAUCGGGAAGAACACCAGUGGCGAAGGCGCUCUGCUGGGCCAUAACUGACGCUCAUGGACGAAAGCCAGGGGAGCGAAAGGGAUUAGAUACCCCUGUAGUCCUGGCCGUAAACGAUGAACACUAGGUGUCGGGGGAAUCGACCCCCUCGGUGUCGUAGCCAACGCGUUAAGUGUUCCGCCUGGGGAGUACGCACGCAAGUGUGAAACUCAAAGGAAUUGACGGGGGCCCGCACAAGCGGUGGAGUAUGUGGUUUAAUUCGAUGCAACGCGAAGAACCUUACCAGGGUUUGACAUCCUGCGAAUCUCUUGGAAACGAGAGAGUGCCUUCGGGAACGCAGUGACAGGUGGUGCAUGGCUGUCGUCAGCUCGUGUCGUGAGAUGUUGGGUUAAGUCCCGCAACGAGCGCAACCCACGUCUUUAGUUGCCAGCAUUUAGUUGGGCACUCUAGAGAGACCGCCGGUGAUAAACCGGAGGAAGGUGUGGAUGACGUCAAGUCAUCAUGCCCCUUACAUCCUGGGCUACACACGUACUACAAUGCUACGGACAAAGAGCAGCAAGUUCGCGAGGACAAGCAAAUCUCAUAAACCGUGGCUCAGUUCAGAUCGUAGGCUGCAACUCGCCUACGUGAAGGAGGAAUCGCUAGUAAUCGCAGGUCAGCAUACUGCGGUGAAUACGUUCCCGGGCCUUGUACACACCGCCCGUCACACCAUGGAAGUUGGCCACGCCCGAAGUCGUUACUCCAACCCUUGUGGAGGAGGACGCCGAAGGUGGGGCUGAUGACUGGGGUGAAGUCGUAACAAGGUAGCCGUACCGGAAGGUGCGGCUG
This 1465-nucleotide ribosomal RNA is filed under the name bacterium AG-316-D23. RNAcentral describes it as "bacterial SSU rRNA". It matches the Rfam family "Bacterial small subunit ribosomal RNA". The record is from RNAcentral.